GCAGUGGCGGUUCAGUGAUAGAAUUCUGGCCUUCUAUGGAAGGGGCCUGGGUUUUAUUCCCAGCCAAUGCA
This 71-nucleotide transfer RNA is filed under the name Loxodonta africana (African savanna elephant). It matches the Rfam family "tRNA". Rfam says of the family: Transfer RNA (tRNA) molecules are approximately 80 nucleotides in length. Lineage: Eukaryota; Metazoa; Chordata; Mammalia; Proboscidea; Elephantidae. The record is from Rfam by way of RNAcentral.